Non-coding RNA from Phyllostomus discolor (pale spear-nosed bat), 519 nucleotides. NCBI's taxonomy places the organism in Eukaryota, Metazoa, Chordata, Mammalia, Chiroptera, Phyllostomidae. The record is from the annotation of a RefSeq genome assembly.
AGAGGGGACUGAGGUUUCUCGAGAAGGCAGAGCUGUGCUCUAGAGAAGAUGAGACUGCUGGGUCUCCUCCUGAUCCUGGUGACAGUCCCCCUGGGUGUCCUGUCCCAAGUGAAGCUGCAAGAGUCGGGCCCAGGACUGGUGAAGCCCUCACAGACCCUCUCCCUCACCUGCACUGUCUCGGGAUUCCCUUUAGCAAUAUAUAGCAUACACUGGACCCGCCAGGUUCCAGGGGAGGGGCUGCAGUGGGUUGGUGCUAUGUGGAGUGCUGGAAGUACAGAGUACAAUCCAGAACUGAAAUCUCGAGUCAGCAUAACCAGAGACACCUCCAAGAGCCAAGUUUAUUUGGCACUGAGCAGUGUCACAACCAAGGACACAGCCGUCUAUUACUGUGGGAGAGACACAGUGAGGGGAUGUGUCUACUCCAAGGUGCGGGUGGAGCAGUCUGGGGCUGUGGUGAGGAAGCCUGGGGCCUCAGUGGAGUUCUCCUUCAAGGCUUUUGGAUACAUGAUCACCAGCUAA